UCCCCGUUAUCCUGGUAGUCCACGCCCUAAACGAUGCAUAUUUGGUGUGGGUCAUUCAGUUGAUCCGUGCCGGAGCUAACGCGUUAAAUAUGCCGCCUGGGGAGUACAGUCGCAAGGCUGAAACUCAAAGGAAUUGACGGGGGCCCGCACAAGCGGUGGAGCAUGUGGUUCAAUUCGACGCAACGCGAAGAACCUUACCUAGGCUCGAACGGCUUCUCAACGCCGGCAGAAAUGCCGGUACCCCGCAAGGGGGUGGAGUCGAGGUGCUGCAUGGCUGUCGUCAGCUCGUGUCGUGAGAUGUUGGGUUAAGUCCCGCAACGAGCGCAACCCUUGUCCUGUGUUGCCAUGUCGAAAGACGGAACUCGCAGGAGACCGCCAGGGAUAACCUGGAGGAAGGUGG
RNAcentral lists this unclassified non-coding RNA (400 nucleotides) under uncultured Bryobacterales bacterium. RNAcentral's name for it is "contains 16S-23S intergenic spacer region". It matches the Rfam family "Bacterial small subunit ribosomal RNA", at positions 778 to 1176 of the family's 1533-position model. Lineage: Bacteria; Pseudomonadati; Acidobacteriota; Terriglobia; Bryobacterales. The record is from RNAcentral.